UACGUAGGGGGCAAGCGUUGUCCGGAAUCAUUGGGCGUAAAGAGCGUGUAGGCGGUCCGGUAAGUCGGCUGUGAAAGUCCAGGGCUCAACCCUGGGAUGCCGGUCGAUACUGCCGGACUAGAGUUCGGAAGAGGCGAGUGGAAUUCCCGGUGUAGCGGUGAAAUGCGCAGAUAUCGGGAGGAACACCUAUGGCGAAGGCAGCUCGCUGGGACGUUACUGACGCUGAGGCGCGAAAGCCAGGGGAGCAAACGGG
This 253-nucleotide ribosomal RNA is filed under the name uncultured bacterium. RNAcentral's name for it is "partial 16S ribosomal RNA". It matches the Rfam family "Bacterial small subunit ribosomal RNA", at positions 524 to 776 of the family's 1533-position model. The record is from RNAcentral.